GAAAAUAUGUAGACCUAACAUCUAUCUCCCUGCUCCAGUUUCAAGAGAAAAGACCUUAUUCAGAGAAAUAUUUAGAAGACUCUUGUGGAAUUCUUGCUGUGAGUGGUUUUUCCUUCCCUGCCAUUGGUGCGACUGUUUCCCCCUUCCGUCAAAUUGCUGUCUAGAUGUUUCUCUCUGACCCCAAUUUUCUCGGAGUUUGGGAUUAUCAAUCUAAAAUCAGAGGCAGGGAGGAACUUGGAUUGUCCUUCAGUAAAAUUCCACUUUGAUGCGCAAAGCGAACUUGAAUUUCUGCUUGGCCUACCACAGGCCUGCAACAUGCACUUUCUCCUCGAGGGAACUGCCACUCACUGACACGGACAACAGUAAAGGAACUUGGUCUUCACUAUGCCUCAUAGUGGUGGGUCACACUGCCCAGGAGGAACCCGCAAUGAGACCGGCAAAUGCCUUAACCAUCUCAUUGUCUCAUCAGGAAGAAGCUUAAAUGACUCUUCUUGCUCACAUACUUCCUGGGCAAACAUGUCUGCUCUGUUGGGAUAAAGGACGCUCUAGACCAGGCUCUGCUGAAAGAUCCAGGGCAAAGGUUCCUGACAAGACUAUGUCCAGCCUCAAAUAAGGCCACAGAAGAGCCCAGGCUCGCUGACGAGCACCGGCUCCGAGGCAGUCACAUCAGGAGACAGAAACAGACAUGUUGGUGCUGCCCUCUCAGGUCAGUGCAAAUGCCACUUGAGGAGGGCUGAGAGCUUUGCAGCAUAAAAUGACCAGAACAAGGAGAAACACAGAUGCAAUGGCAAUAGCUGGCAAUUCGCACAUGGCGUCAAACACCACUGCCACAGAAGCUUUUUAGCUACAAGCCACGCUAUGCAACCUUUAAGCAAAACAUUAUUGAUUUUGUGGUUGUAAAAACAUACCUUCAACUGCAGAACUCAGUUUUAUGACACCUUGAAUAAAAACAAAAAGUGGCAGUUAUAUAAUGGACCCAAAUCGCCUUUUCCAGGCUUCUCAUAACACACGCAUGCUUCAGAUUUGGAUUUUUCUUUUUCUGCUGGCAUUGCAAGAACGUAACUAAACAAAUAUCAACUUCAAAAAUAAAAUAAUUUUUAGUCUUAACUAGGUCUCAUGGAUGUCUUCUUUUCCCCCACUAAAACCAUUUGGGGAAAUUUUUCACUAAAAAUGGGAUCAAACAUGUUUUUGGAUGGGACAAAGGCCAAGUCUGCCUGAGUGACUAUUUCUGUGUAUAAAUUAUACCAGAUUAUGGAUCAAUAAAAGUUCACACAAUAGGAUGCUAGGGACCAGCACUUCCUCUUUGAUACUGUAUCUAGAGAUCAUCUGAUGCAUGUUAGGACAGAGUUUCUGUUGAAACAUGUAACAGGUGGUUAAAAACCAUGGUGUGAUCUGGUAACUUUCUUCUCUGGGGUGGUUGGGCCAGAGCCCUUUUCUUGGUCUGAUGGGUUUAGAUUUCAGCUCCCUCAAGUCAGAGAGUGAACGGGUUAUCUGAGCAAGUCAAGUUGUUCAUGAAGCAAGUCAGUACCCUUGACUGAUAUUUAUGCACCUUUGCAGUGAAUUUUUUUUUUUUUUGAGACAGAGUCUCGCUCUGUCACCCAGGCUGGAGUGCAGUGGCGCAAUCUCGGAUCUUGGAUCUCGGCUCACUGCAACCUCUGCCUCCUGGGUGGACGCCAUUCUCCUGCCUCAGCCUCCCGAGUGGCUGGGACUACAGGCGC
This 1718-nucleotide long non-coding RNA is filed under the name Homo sapiens (human). RNAcentral's name for it is "HSALNT0392581". The record is from RNAcentral. Lineage: Eukaryota; Metazoa; Chordata; Mammalia; Primates; Hominidae.